RNAcentral lists this long non-coding RNA (1253 nucleotides) under Cricetulus griseus (Chinese hamster). RNAcentral describes it as "lncRNA (ENSCGRG00015035904.1)". The record is from RNAcentral. Lineage: Eukaryota; Metazoa; Chordata; Mammalia; Rodentia; Cricetidae.
CUAUUGUAACUAUGUGUUCUCAUAUUGGGCAAAGUGGGGACUAUAGAAGGACUGAUUGAGGUUGCUUAUUUCCUGGCCUGCUAAUUAUUCUUCUGCAAGAGGGCUUCCUUUUAUGCACCAACCAUCCUGUGGCAGGGGCUGAAGGCAAGUAGGCUUGACUUUGAGACGGGACUCCAGCCAACAAAAGACUUAGCCCCAGCAGGGCCACUGAGACAGACAUCUAUCCCUACAUGGAUGCCAGAGUCUGUCAUGAGUGAUCGAAGGACCCUGGACUACAGGAAGGAUGAACUGUGCUGCAUGCUGCGUUCUUGUACCCUCCCCCAGCCUCUAGGCCAGUGAUUGCACCUUGGCUGUCCAGCACCAACACUAGGACAGCUCUUAACAAUAUUGUUGCCCGAAUCCACUGGAGCCCAUUCAUCGUGCAGGCCUGAGGCCCCUCUGUGAGUUCAGCUGGACAAAGUAGCUGCGGUGCCCCAUGGGAGUAAGCAUGACUGAGCAGAUCUUUAUUUCUCAAGAUCAGAUGUCAUUUGAAGAUAGAAGAAAGUGAUUCUGAAAACCUUUUUCCAAAUAAAACAAGCUUGUGAGAAUUUUGCUGCCAACAAAUCUAUUCCACUAUUCUUGAUUUCAGUUCUUUUACCAGGAAGGAAAGAUUCUGGAUGAAACCCCUCUGAAAGCUGAGUGAGCAGCAUCAUCUCCUUCCACUGGAUCCUGUGGUGGACACAUGUGUAACUCAGUCUGUACCAUCUAGCCCAGUGGAUUUUAUCUUACUUUCUCUGGAAAGUAAAUAUCAUUCUUUUGCUAGGAUUGAGAUACAUCACCAGGAGCAAGAGGUAAACUCCUUUCAGAGCUUUUUCCAGCUAUGAGAGAAGACAGCAAACAGCGACAGGAACUCCUACAAGGAGCAUCCAUGUUUCACCUGCCUCUCUUAAGCAGCCUGAAUUUGGAAAUCUCCAGACCAGAGUGAUACUAGAAAAAGCACAGAACCUGAUAAAUAACAAUGGGUUUGGCCCAAGCCCAAUGGGAGGCCAAUAUGGUGUGUGUUCUGACACAAGAGAGCAGGUCAUUUCUCCAGUGUGUGCUGCAGGAAGCCUGUGUUAAAAGAAGCAGGCCUUAGAAGGUGCUACAGUGCACAACCAUCAGAGUCAGAAAUCUGGGAUCAAAUUCUGGUGACCUAUUGACUAGAAGUGUUAACUUGAACAAGUCAAUGGACCACUCUUGACCUGUUUCCUUGUUUGCAAAAUGAGUAUAAUAAC